RNAcentral lists this ribosomal RNA (486 nucleotides) under uncultured bacterium. RNAcentral describes it as "partial 16S ribosomal RNA". It matches the Rfam family "Bacterial small subunit ribosomal RNA", at positions 30 to 507 of the family's 1533-position model. The record is from RNAcentral.
AUUGAACGCUGGCGGCAUGCCUUACACAUGCCAGUCGAACGGCAGCACGGGUGCUUGCACCUGGUGGCGAGUGGCGAACGGGUGAGUAAUACAUCGGAACAUGUCCUGUAGUGGGGGAUAGCCCGGCGAAAGCCGGAUUAAUACCGCAUACGAUCUACGGAUGAAAGCGGGGGGCCUUCGGGCCUCGCGCUAUAGGGUUGGCCGAUGGCUGAUUAGCUAGUUGGUGGGGUAAAGGCCUACCAAGGCGACGAUCAGUAGCUGGUCUGAGAGGACGACCAGCCACACUGGGACUGAGACACGGCCCAGACUCCUACGGGAGGCAGCAGUGGGGAAUUUUGGACAAUGGGCGAAAGCCUGAUCCAGCAAUGCCGCGUGUGUGAAGAAGGCCUUCGGGUUGUAAAGCACUUUUGUCCGGAAAGAAAUCCUUGGCCCUAAUACGGUCGGGGGAUGACGGUACCGGAAGAAUAAGCACCGGCUAACUACGUG